UUGUGUACUAUGGUCUUAACAAAUAGUUGAAGGAUUUAUCACAUUCAGACAUUGCGAUAGGUCAUUGUUAAUUUUAAAUUUGCUUGUUAUUUAACGGAAGCAAUAUCGGCAAAUGUUACUUGGUUGUUCGUGCUAUUUGGUUUAAACAUAUUUAUGUAUAUACAUGAAAAUAUUCACAGUAAUAUGUGGAUUGACAUGGAAGCUAUCCUAAGCUUAGUGUAAGUCGUUCUACGAGCAUGAAGAAAAACGAUCCAUUAGGCGAGAAGGACUUCAAUUGAUAAAGAUGUUAAUGUCGAGUGGUUGUGGUGGAAAGUACUUGCAGGAAGAGAUAGGGAAGGGAAUAGAUAGAAAAAUGGAUGCGGACUAAGAGUGGAAGAACGAGGUUGGAGCAAGAGUUAGAAGGGAGCUGCGGAGCACAUGAAGUUUAUGAGAAAAUUGGUACCGAAGGCGUCGGCGUCUUAUCGAAGCGUUUAUAGCGGUCGUUGGUUCAUGGGUGGACAUAAGUCAGAAAGAUAAGUUGUGGUUAGGUUAUUAUUCAUUUUGUAAAAGAAGAAUAAGUUUAUGUUUAGCUCUACGAUUACUUAUGGUUUCCCAUCCGACUUCUUCCAAAAGCUUUUGAAUUGAGACUAAUUUCGUGGCACCUAUGACUAUUCGUGCAGCCUCAAUUUGGACGUUUUCUAACAUUUCUUGGUCGUGUAAUGAGCAGUUGUCGUAAAUGACUUAUUAUCAUUGACUCUCUGUUAUAAGGAUUGAAAAUGACAAGUCAUGUUUUAGCCCAUUUGUUGAUUCGUUCGAGAUCGGAGUUAAGCGUAGCUGCAGCGUGGACUGGAUUGUCGACUACAACAUAAUGGAUAGUGUCGUCGGCAAAUAACCUGUUGUUUGCUUUAAUAUCUAGAACAAUAUCAUUAAUAAAGAUUUAAAAAAAAAGAAGAGGCCCUAAAAUUGAGCCGCCCUGUGGUACUCCAGCGUUGAUAUGAGACCAAUUGGAUUCUGCGUUUGGAAGAACAACGUUUUGUUUGCGGUUUGUAAGUUAAGAAGACCAUAGAUGGAGCAGUGAUAUCUAAUGAUCAAGACAGGGGUCUCCCACCCCCGAUGAGUGAAUAAUGGAGGUAUGGGGUCUUGGGAACAGUACUCCUCAGCGGGUAGGAGCAAGAGCUCAAGAACGGGAGAUUGAAAACCUGCGGCUGCCCACAAGCAUCGUAUAGUGGGGAAUUGGCGGCUUGACAUUGUCAACAUUACGGAGGUCAAUCGAAGCCAAUUUGUUACCUUUCACACCGCCAAAGGUAUUGGUAUUGCACCUGUGCGGAAGACUUAGUGAUCUAUGCACGGACGCAUGUACAAAGGUACGAAAUAAUAUAAAGAGAGAAAUUAAAUAUUUAAGGACAGCUUUCAUAGACACAGCAAUAAUCUUGGUGGGCAUAAUUGUCCGCAUAAAUUGGCGCUUUUCCCUCCCCAGGAAGAUUAUUACGUCAAAACGUCGACGUGUAAACAGGUUUGGCCGAGUGUGUGUGCAAUUGGCAAGCCGCAGCACCAGUAUCACUGUAGACAUUGAUGCAAACACCCCGGUUUUUUUCCUCCCGGAUGGGGUGCAAUUCUCACCAGUGGGGCUUGAGUUUUAUCUGGACACCCUGCGGGAUGCGAUUAUGCAAUUUUUAUAAUAUAUUUGUAUAUGCUAUUUUUACUCGUUUCCUUUUUUCUGUCAAAAAUACUAUAAACUUUUUUAUUAUAUGUUUAUGCUUU
Dreissena polymorpha is the source of this 1740-nucleotide long non-coding RNA. RefSeq lists it as uncharacterized. The transcript has 3 exons. The record is from RefSeq and is a predicted model, not a curated record. NCBI's taxonomy places the organism in Eukaryota, Metazoa, Mollusca, Bivalvia, Myida, Dreissenidae.